UUUGGUUAAGUUAGAAAUGGCGCACGGUGGAUGCCUUGACACUAGGAGUCGAUGAAGGACGGGACUAACGCCGAUAUGCUUCGGGGAGCUGUAAGUAAGCUUUGAUCCGAAGAUUUCCGAAUGGGGAAACCCACCAUACGUAAUGGUAUGGUAUCCUUAUCUGAAUACAUAGGGUAAGGAAGACAGACCCAGGGAACUGAAACAUCUAAGUACCUGGAGGAAGAGAAAGCAAAUGCGAUUUCCUGAGUAGCGGCGAGCGAAACGGAACAUAGCCCAAACCAAGAGGCUUGCCUCUUGGGGUUGUAGGACAUUCUAUACGGAGUUACAAAGGAACGAGGUAGACGAAGCGACCUGGAAAGGUCCGUCGUAGAGGGUAACAACCCCGUAGUCGAAACUUCGUUCUCUCUUGAAUGUAUCCUGAGUACGGCGGAACACGUGAAAUUCCGUCGGAAUCUGGGAGGACCAUCUCCCAAGGCUAAAUACUCCCUAGUGAUCGAUAGUGAACCAGUACCGUGAGGGAAAGGUGAAAAGCACCCCGGAAGGGGAGUGAAAGAGAUCCUGAAACCGUGUGCCUACAAAUAGUCAGAGCCCGUUAACGGGUGAUGGCGUGCCUUUUGUAGAAUGAACCGGCGAGUUACGAUCCCGUGCGAGGUUAAGCUGAAGAGGCGGAGCCGCAGCGAAAGCGAGUCUGAAUAGGGCGUUUAGUACGUGGUCGUAGACCCGAAACCAGGUGAUCUACCCAUGUCCAGGGUGAAGUUCAGGUAACACUGAAUGGAGGCCCGAACCCACGCACGUUGAAAAGUGCGGGGAUGAGGUGUGGGUAGCGGAGAAAUUCCAAUCGAACCUGGAGAUAGCUGGUUCUCCCCGAAAUAGCUUUAGGGCUAGCCUUAAGUGUAAGAGUCUUGGAGGUAGAGCACUGAUUGGACUAGGGGUCCUCAUCGGAUUACCGAAUUCAGUCAAACUCCGAAUGCCAAUGACUUAUCCUUAGGAGUCAGACUGCGAGUGAUAAGAUCCGUAGUCAAAAGGGAAACAGCCCAGACCGCCAGCUAAGGUCCCAAAGUGUGUAUUAAGUGGAAAAGGAUGUGGAGUUGCUUAGACAACUAGGAUGUUGGCUUAGAAGCAGCCACCAUUUAAAGAGUGCGUAAUAGCUCACUAGUCGAGUGACUCUGCGCCGAAAAUGUACCGGGGCUAAAUACACCACCGAAGCUGCGGAUUGAUACCAAUGGUAUCAGUGGUAGGGGAGCGUUCUAAGGACAGUGAAGUCAGACCGGAAGGACUGGUGGAGUGCUUAGAAGUGAGAAUGCCGGUAUGAGUAGCGAAAGACGGGUGAGAAUCCCGUCCACCGAAUGCCUAAGGUUUCCUGAGGAAGGCUCGUCCGCUCAGGGUUAGUCAGGACCUAAGCCGAGGCCGACAGGCGUAGGCGAUGGACAACAGGUUGAUAUUCCUGUACCACCUCUUUAUCGUUUGAGCAAUGGAGGGACGCAGAAGGAUAGAAGAAGCGUGCGAUUGGUUGUGCACGUCCAAGCAGUUAGGCUGAUAAGUAGGCAAAUCCGCUUAUCGUGAAGGCUGAGCUGUGAUGGGGAAGCUCCUUAUGGAGCGAAGUCUUUGAUUCCCCGCUGCCAAGAAAAGCUUCUAGCGAGAUAAAAGGUGCCUGUACCGCAAACCGACACAGGUAGGCGAGGAGAGAAUCCUAAGGUGUGCGAGAGAACUCUGGUUAAGGAACUCGGCAAAAUGACCCCGUAACUUCGGGAGAAGGGGUGCUUUCUUAACGGAAAGCCGCAGUGAAUAGGCCCAAGCGACUGUUUAGCAAAAACACAGCUCUCUGCGAAGCCGUAAGGCGAAGUAUAGGGGGUGACACCUGCCCGGUGCUGGAAGGUUAAGGAGAGGGGUUAGCGUAAGCGAAGCUCUGAACUGAAGCCCCAGUAAACGGCGGCCGUAACUAUAACGGUCCUAAGGUAGCGAAAUUCCUUGUCGGGUAAGUUCCGACCCGCACGAAAGGUGUAACGAUUUGGGCACUGUCUCAACCAGAGACUCGGUGAAAUUAUAGUACCUGUGAAGAUGCAGGUUACCCGCGACAGGACGGAAAGACCCCGUGGAGCUUUACUGUAGCCUGAUAUUGAAUUUUGGUACAGUUUGUACAGGAUAGGCGGGAGCCUUUGAAACCGGAGCGCUAGCUUCGGUGGAGGCGCUGGUGGGAUACCGCCCUGACUGUAUUGAAAUUCUAACCUACGGGUCUUAUCGACCCGGGAGACAGUGUCAGGUGGGCAGUUUGACUGGGGCGGUCGCCUCCUAAAGUGUAACGGAGGCGCCCAAAGGUUCCCUCAGAAUGGUUGGAAAUCAUUCGUAGAGUGCAAAGGCAUAAGGGAGCUUGACUGCGAGACCUACAAGUCGAGCAGGGACGAAAGUCGGGCUUAGUGAUCCGGUGGUUCCGCAUGGAAGGGCCAUCGCUCAACGGAUAAAAGCUACCCCGGGGAUAACAGGCUUAUCUCCCCCAAGAGUCCACAUCGACGGGGAGGUUUGGCACCUCGAUGUCGGCUCAUCGCAUCCUGGGGCUGUAGUCGGUCCCAAGGGUUGGGCUGUUCGCCCAUUAAAGCGGUACGCGAGCUGGGUUCAGAACGUCGUGAGACAGUUCGGUCCCUAUCCGUCGUGGGCGUAGGAAAUUUGAGAGGAGCUGUCCUUAGUACGAGAGGACCGGGAUGGACGCACCGCUGGUGUACCAGUUGUUCUGCCAAGGGCAUAGCUGGGUAGCUAUGUGCGGAAGGGAUAAGUGCUGAAAGCAUCUAAGCAUGAAGCCCCCCUCAAGAUGAGAUUUCCCAUAGCGUAAGCUAGUAAGAUCCCUGAAAGAUGAUCAGGUUGAUAGGUUCGAGGUGGAAGCAUGGUGACAUGUGGAGCUGACGAAUACUAAUAGAUCGAGGACUUAACCAUAUAA
RNAcentral lists this ribosomal RNA (2929 nucleotides) under Bacillus cereus. RNAcentral's name for it is "23S ribosomal RNA". It matches the Rfam family "Bacterial large subunit ribosomal RNA". The record is from RNAcentral. Lineage: Bacteria; Bacillati; Bacillota; Bacilli; Caryophanales; Bacillaceae.